AAGUCGUAACAAGGUUUCCGUAGGUGAACCUGCGGAAGGAUCAUUAGAAAUCACCGGCCUAGCCGGUAUAAAAUUCUAUCCACCUUAUGUGCAACAAAUGGAAAAAAGAGAGAAAAUUGGAUACUUUUUGUAUCCAACCUCUCUAAAAAACUUUAUAAACUCCAUCAAAUUUUGAAUAAAACUAAUAUUUUAAUAAAAUAUAUUAUACAACUUUCAACAACGGAUCUCUUGGCUCUC
RNAcentral lists this unclassified non-coding RNA (237 nucleotides) under fungal sp. RNAcentral describes it as "partial internal transcribed spacer region". The stretch from base 1 to 46 matches the Rfam family "Eukaryotic small subunit ribosomal RNA", at positions 1786 to 1831 of the family's 1831-position model. Lineage: Eukaryota; Fungi. The record is from RNAcentral.